UAAGACGAAGGGAGCGAGCGUUGUUCGGUAUCACUGGGCUUAAAGGGCACGUAGGCGGCUUGAUGUGUCGGUUGUGAAAUCCCUGGGCUCAACUCAGGAAUUGCUUCCGAAACUAUCAGGCUUGAGGCAUUCUGAAGGUGACUGGAACUCUUGGUGGAGCGGUGACAUGCGUAGAUAUCAAGAGGAACGCCGGCGGUGAAGACGGGUCACUGGGGAUGUCCUGACGCUGAGGUGCGAAAGCUAGGGGAGCGAACGGGAUUAGAUACCCCGGUAGUCCUAGCCGUAAACGAUGUGCACUAGGUCGCGGAGGUUCUGACGCCGUCGCGGCCGAAGCAAAAGUGUUAAGUGCACCGCCUGGGGAGUACGGUCGCAAGGCUA
RNAcentral lists this ribosomal RNA (378 nucleotides) under uncultured Planctomycetota bacterium. Its description in RNAcentral is "bacterial SSU rRNA". It matches the Rfam family "Bacterial small subunit ribosomal RNA", at positions 521 to 896 of the family's 1533-position model. The record is from RNAcentral. Lineage: Bacteria; Pseudomonadati; Planctomycetota.